GAUGGGUAGUGUAUUGGACUACCAUGGCAGUCACGGGUAACGGAGAAUUAGGGUUCGGUUCCGGAGAGGGAGCCUGAGAAACGGCUACCACAUCUAAGGAAGGCAGCAGGCGCGAUAAAUUACCCAAUCCUGAUUCAGGGAGGUAGUGACAAGAAAUAGCAAACUGGAUGAUUUUUCAUCACAGUAUUGCAAUGAGAACAACGUAAAUGCUUUAUCGAUUAACAAUUGGAGGGCAAGUCUGGUGCCAGCAGCCGCGGUAAUUCCAGCUCCAAUAGCGUAUAUUAAAGUUGUUGCAGUUAAAAAGCUCGUAGUUGAACUUCUGUACGUUCCCAGUUCUGGCUUUGGUCAAGCUGUGGAGCGUGCAUCCGCUUGCAAACUUAGACCGGCCUUCACUGGUCGACUAAGGGAGUAAGCCCUUUACUUUGAAAAAAUUAGAGUGUUUCUAGCAGGCUUUGGCUCGAAUACAUUAGCAUGGAAUAAUGGAAUAGGACUUUUGUCCAUUUGGUUGGUUAUUGGACAUUAGUAAUGAUUAAAAGGGACAGUUGGGGGCAUUAGUACUUAAUAGUCAGAGGUGAAAUUCUUGGAUUUAUUAAAGACUAACUUAUGCGAAAGCAUUUGCCAAGGAUGUUUUCAUUAAUCAAGAACGAAAGUUAGGGGAUCAAAGACGAUCAGAAUACCGUCA
RNAcentral lists this ribosomal RNA (682 nucleotides) under Philasterida sp. RNAcentral describes it as "SSU rRNA". It matches the Rfam family "Eukaryotic small subunit ribosomal RNA", at positions 324 to 1020 of the family's 1831-position model. The record is from RNAcentral. Lineage: Eukaryota; Ciliophora; Oligohymenophorea; Philasterida.